AAACCAACAGGGAUUGCCUUAGUAGCGGCGAGUGAAGCGGCAAGAGCUCAAAUUUGAAAUCUGGUACCUUCGGUGCCCGAGUUGUAAUUUGAAGAAAGCUAUCUUGGAUUUGGCCUUUGUCUAUGUUCCUUGGAACAGGACGUCACAGAGGGUGAGAAUCCCGUGCGAUGAGGUGUCCAUUUCUAUGUAAGAUGUUUUCGAAGAGUCGAGUUGUUUGGGAAUGCAGCUCUAAGUGGGUGGUAAAUUCCAUCUAAAGCUAAAUAUUGGCGAGAGACCGAUAGCGAACAAGUACAGUGAUGGAAAGAUGAAAAGAACUUUGAAAAGAGAGUGAAAAAGUACGUGAAAUUGUUGAAAGGGAAGGGUAUUAGAUCAGACUUGGUAUUUAGUUAUCAUUGCUCCUUGUGGGUGGUGCUCUAGCUUUUUACUGGGCCAGCAUCAGUUUUGGUGACAGGAUAAUAGCAAUUGAAUGUGGCUCUUCGGAGUGUUAUAGCUUUUGUUGAUACUGUCUACUGGGACUGAGGUCUGCGGCUUUGCCUAGGAUGCUGGCGUAAUGAUCCAAUACCGC
This 565-nucleotide ribosomal RNA is filed under the name Ogataea sonorensis. RNAcentral describes it as "eukaryotic LSU rRNA". It matches the Rfam family "Eukaryotic large subunit ribosomal RNA", at positions 62 to 648 of the family's 3401-position model. The record is from RNAcentral. Lineage: Eukaryota; Fungi; Ascomycota; Pichiomycetes; Pichiales; Pichiaceae.